Ictidomys tridecemlineatus (thirteen-lined ground squirrel) is the source of this 71-nucleotide non-coding RNA. NCBI's taxonomy places the organism in Eukaryota, Metazoa, Chordata, Mammalia, Rodentia, Sciuridae. The record is from Rfam.
GGAGUUGUGGCUCAGUGGUAGAGCACUUGCUUAGCAUGUGGGAGGCUCUGGGUUCGAUUCUUAGCACUACA